RNAcentral lists this ribosomal RNA (447 nucleotides) under uncultured bacterium. RNAcentral describes it as "partial 16S ribosomal RNA". It matches the Rfam family "Bacterial small subunit ribosomal RNA", at positions 29 to 523 of the family's 1533-position model. The record is from RNAcentral.
AACGAACGCUGGCGGCAGGCCUAACACAUGCAAGUCGAACGCCCCGCAAGGGGAGUGGCAGACGGGUGAGUAACGCGUGGGAACCUACCUUUCGGUGCGGAAUAACUUCGGGAAACCAAAGCUAAUACCGCAUACGCCCUACGGGGGAAAGAUUUAUCGCAGAUAGAUGGGCCCGCGUCGGAUUAGCUAGUGGGAGAGGUAACGGCUCACAAAGGCUACGAUCCGUAGCUGGUCUGAGAGGAUGAUCAGCCACACUGGGACUGUGACACGGCCCAGACUACUACGGGAGGCAGCAGUGGGGAAUAUUGGACAAUGGGCGCAAGCCUGAUCCAGCCAUGCCGCGUGAGUGAAGAAGGCCUUAGGGUUGUAAAGCUCUUUUAGUGGGGACGAUAAUGACGGUACCCACAGAAUAAGCCCCGGCUAACUUCGUGCCAGCCGCCGCAGUAA